Molecule: ribosomal RNA, 497 nt
Filed under: uncultured microorganism
Description: bacterial SSU rRNA
Rfam family: Bacterial small subunit ribosomal RNA
Source: RNAcentral
GAGUUUGAUCGUGGCUCAGGAUGAACGCUGGCGGCGUGCCUAAUACAUGCAAGUAGAACGCUGAAGCUUGGUGCUUGCACCGAGCGGAUGAGUUGCGAACGGGUGAGUAACGCGUAGGUAACCUGCCUGGUAGCGGGGGAUAACUAUUGGAAACGAUAGCUAAUACCGCAUAACAGUAGAUAUUGCAUGAUAUCUGCUUGAAAGGUGCAAUUGCAUCACUACCAGAUGGACCUGCGUUGUAUUAGCUAGUUGGUGAGGUAACGGCUCACCAAGGCGACGAUACAUAGCCGACCUGAGAGGGUGAUCGGCCACACUGGGACUGAGACACGGCCCAGACUCCUACGGGAGGCAGCAGUAGGGAAUCUUCGGCAAUGGGGGAACCCUGACCGAGCAACGCCGCGUGAGUGAAGAAGGUUUUCGGAUCGUAAAGCUCUGUUGUAAGAGAAGAACGAGUGUGAGAGUGGAAAGUUCACACUGUGACGGUAUCUUACCAGAAA